RNAcentral lists this ribosomal RNA (460 nucleotides) under uncultured bacterium. Its description in RNAcentral is "SSU rRNA". It matches the Rfam family "Bacterial small subunit ribosomal RNA", at positions 26 to 518 of the family's 1533-position model. The record is from RNAcentral.
AGGAUUAACGCUGGCGGCGUGCCUAACACAUGCAAGUCGAACGAGGUAGCAAUACCUAGUGGCAGACGGGUGAGUAACGCGUGGUCAACCUACCAUUGAGCGGGGGAUAACUAACCGAAAGGUUAGCUAAUACCGCAUACGUGACCGGGGGGCAUCCCCUGGUUAUAAAAGGAGCAAUCCACUCGAUGACGGGACCGCGUCCCAUUAGCUAGUUGGUGGGGUAACGGCCUACCAAGGCACCGAUGGGUAGCUGGUUUGAGAGAGCGACCAGCCACACUGGGACUGAGAAACGGCCCAGACUCCUACGGGAGGCAGCAGUGAGGAAUUUCCGCAAUGGGCGAAAGCCUGACGGAGCGACGCCGCGUGUGGGAAGAAGGCCUUCGGGUCGUAAACCACUGUCGAAGGGACGAUAAUGACGGUACCUUGGAGGAAGCCCGGCUAACUACGCGCCAGCAGCCGC